AGUGAACGCUGGCGGUAGGCCUAACACAUGCAAGUCGAACGGCAGCACAGUAAGAGCUUGCUCUUACGGGUGGCGAGUGGCGGACGGGUGAGGAAUACAUCGGAAUCUACUUUUUCGUGGGGGAUAACGUAGGGAAACUUACGCUAAUACCGCAUACGACCUACGGGUGAAAGCAGGGGAUCUUCGGACCUUGCGCGAUUGAAUGAGCCGAUGUCGGAUUAGCUAGUUGGCGGGGUAAAGGCCCACCAAGGCGACGAUCCGUAGCUGGUCUGAGAGGAUGGUCAGCCACACUGGAACUGAGACACGGCCCAGACUCCUACGGGAGGCAGCAGUGGGGAAUAUUGGACGAUGGGCGCAAGCCUGAUCCAGCCAUACCGCGUGGGUGAAGAAGGCCUUCGGGUUGUAAAGCCCUGUUGUUGGGAAAGAAAAGCAGCAGGUUAAUACCCCGCUGUUCUGACGGUACCCAAAGAAUAAGCACCGGCUAACUUCGUG
Molecule: ribosomal RNA, 492 nt
Filed under: uncultured bacterium
Lineage: Bacteria
Description: partial 16S ribosomal RNA
Rfam family: Bacterial small subunit ribosomal RNA
Source: RNAcentral